This 99-nucleotide ribosomal RNA is filed under the name Jaculus jaculus (lesser Egyptian jerboa). The record is from RNAcentral. Lineage: Eukaryota; Metazoa; Chordata; Mammalia; Rodentia; Dipodidae.
GUUUAUGGGCAUACGACCCUGAACAUGCCAGAUCUCAGAAGCUAAGCAGAGUCGGGCCUGUUUAGUACUUGGAUGGGAGAAUGUUUGAUGGCUUAAAGA